UUGAUAGACGCCAUGUUGGCAUGACUAACCGAGCCGGACUGGUGUAGAGUUUUGACCAUAUUUGGAUACGGAUUGCCAUAUUUGAAUAUCCUUGCUUGCUCUGAUUGGCUGAUUCAACAGUUCGAAUUUAGGCGGACUUUUCAUUCAGUUAUUGUAAUCGUUCUUUAUGGUAAAGCAUGGAUGGUUCAUGGAUAAUUGUGCUUCUAAAUAGCCUAAAAUCCCCUGAGAAAAACGGGGAACAACGAACUAAUAUGUGAUACUUCAUAACCUGAGGGUAAUCUGGUAUAGAUCAACGAAUUUUCAAGAGAUUUCGCUGAGGUCUAACCUCCUGAAAACCUAACUGAUGAUGAAGUGCUGUAUUUAUAAAUCGUUAGCACGAGAUGUCAAUAUUGCCUUGUAGUUUAUAGGAAAUUUGUUGUAAUUAAAGCUUAUUUAUAAAUUUCU
This 444-nucleotide long non-coding RNA is filed under the name Actinia tenebrosa (Australian red waratah sea anemone). RNAcentral describes it as "uncharacterized LOC116306416". The record is from RNAcentral. Lineage: Eukaryota; Metazoa; Cnidaria; Anthozoa; Actiniaria; Actiniidae.